CUGCUAUGUUCCUUGUUCACUGUGUAGUUUAUUGCUUAUUUCUACAGGCCGGCUCUGCAGAUGUCACGUCUGGUUAUGCGACAGCAACAUCAGUCAGAAGGUGGCACAGUUCAUGAACAGCUUCUCACGGGAGCUUUGCGAGCCUCACUGUUGCAACGAUGUGAACCUGGUCUCUCUUGGAAAGAUGCUUGCAGAUCCCGGGAAGGCUUACUUGAGAACAACUGUCCACAGACAAUUCAUUAUUGCUGUCUUUUUUUCUUCUAAAAGACACAGGAAAAUAUUGAAACCUUUGGUGCCUGUGAGGGGGUUUUCAGGUGUACAAAGGGUCUCCACAAACGAUGCACGUCACCUUCGAGGGGGUGGUCACCUGUGGGGAGACGUGGAGAAGAACGGCAUCAGUGAGAGUGGAAGAGAAGCUUCAGCUGUACCUGUAACAUUUUAUUCUUUAAAAAACAAAGGUGAAGCAAAUAUUGCAAAAUUACGGUAACAUUUUAAAACUGGAUGGUGGACAUAUA
This 515-nucleotide long non-coding RNA is filed under the name Equus asinus (donkey). RNAcentral's name for it is "lncRNA (ENSEASG00005025838.1)". Lineage: Eukaryota; Metazoa; Chordata; Mammalia; Perissodactyla; Equidae. The record is from RNAcentral.